AGAGUUUGAUCCUGGCUCAGAGCGAACGCUGGCGGCAGGCUUAACACAUGCAAGUCGAGCGGGCGUAGCAAUACGUCAGCGGCAGACGGGUGAGUAACGCGUGGGAACGUACCUUUUGGUUCGGAACAACACAGGGAAACUUGUGCUAAUACCGGAUAAGCCCUUACGGGGAAAGAUUUAUCGCCGAAAGAUCGGCCCGCGUCUGAUUAGCUAGUUGGUGUGGUAACGGCGCACCAAGGCGACGAUCAGUAGCUGGUCUGAGAGGAUGAUCAGCCACAUUGGGACUGAGACACGGCCCAAACUCCUACGGGAGGCAGCAGUGGGGAAUAUUGGACAAUGGGCGCAAGCCUGAUCCAGCCAUGCCGCGUGAGUGAUGAAGGCCCUAGGGUUGUAAAGCUCUUUUGUGCGGGAAGAUAAUGACGGUACCGCAAGAAUAAGCCCCGGCUAACUUCGUGCCAGCAGCCGCGGUAAUACGAAGGGGGCUAGCGUUGCUCGGAAUCACUGGGCGUAAAGGGUGCGUAGGCGGGUCUUUAAGUCAGGGGUGAAAUCCUGGAGCCCAACUCCAGAACUGCCUUUGAUACUGAGGAUCUUGAGUUCGGGAGAGGUGAGUGGAACUGCGAGUGUAGAGGUGAAAUUCGUAGAUAUUCGCAAGAACACCAGUGGCGAAGGCGGCUCACUGGCCCGAUACUGACGCUGAGGCACGAAAGCGUGGGGAGCAAACAGGAUUAGAUACCCUAGUAGUCC
RNAcentral lists this ribosomal RNA (744 nucleotides) under uncultured bacterium. Its description in RNAcentral is "bacterial SSU rRNA". It matches the Rfam family "Bacterial small subunit ribosomal RNA", at positions 8 to 796 of the family's 1533-position model. The record is from RNAcentral.